RNAcentral lists this transfer RNA (73 nucleotides) under Ailuropoda melanoleuca (giant panda). It matches the Rfam family "tRNA". Rfam says of the family: Transfer RNA (tRNA) molecules are approximately 80 nucleotides in length. Their secondary structure includes four short double-helical elements and three loops (D, anti-codon, and T loops). Further hydrogen bonds mediate the characteristic L-shaped molecular structure. tRNAs have two regions of fundamental functional importance: the anti-codon, which is responsible for specific mRNA codon recognition, and the 3' end, to which the tRNAs corresponding amino acid is attached (by aminoacyl-tRNA synthetases). tRNAs cope with the degeneracy of the genetic code in two manners: having more than one tRNA (with a specific anti-codon) for a particular amino acid; and 'wobble' base-pairing, i.e. permitting non-standard base-pairing at the 3rd anti-codon position. The record is from Rfam by way of RNAcentral. Lineage: Eukaryota; Metazoa; Chordata; Mammalia; Carnivora; Ursidae.
GCCUGAUGGGCUUAAUUGGUAGAGCACACGACUCUUGAUCUUGAUGUUGUGAGUUCAAGCCCCACGUUGGGUG